This 252-nucleotide ribosomal RNA is filed under the name uncultured bacterium. Its description in RNAcentral is "partial 16S ribosomal RNA". It matches the Rfam family "Bacterial small subunit ribosomal RNA", at positions 524 to 776 of the family's 1533-position model. The record is from RNAcentral.
UACGGAGGAUGCGAGCGUUAUCCGGAUUUAUUGGGCUUAAAGGGUGCGUAGGCGGAUUUUUAAGUCAGCGGUAAAAUGUCCGGGCUCAACCCGGGCCGGCCGUUGAAACUGGGGAUCUUGAGUGGGCGAGAAGUAUGCGGAAUGCGUGGUGUAGCGGUGAAAUGCAUAGAUAUCACGCAGAACUCCGAUUGCGAAGGCAGCGUACCGGCAUCCAACUGACGCUGAGGCACGAAAGCGUGGGGAUCAAACAGG